GACGAACGCUGGCGGCGUGCUUAACACAUGCAAGUCGAACGGAAAGGCCCCUUUGGGGGUACUCGAGUGGCGAACGGGGGAGUAACACGUGCGUAACCUGCCCUUGACUUCGGGAUAACUUCAGGAAACUGGGGCUAAUACCGGAGAGGAAUCCUUGCUGCAUGGGGGGGGUUGGAAAGCUUCGGCGGGUUUGGAUGGACUCGCGGCUUAUCAGCUUGUCGGUGGGGUAGUGGCUUACCAAGGCUUCGACGGGUAGCCGCCCUGAGAGGGCGACCGGCCACAUUGGGUCUGAGAGACGGCCCAGACUCCUACUGGAGGCAGCAGUGGGGAAUCUUGCACAAUGGGCGCCAGCCUGAUGCAGCAGCGCCGCGUGCGGGAUGACGGCCUUCGGGUUGUAAACCGCUUUCAGCAGGGGCGAAGCUUGUGGUGACGGUACCUGCAGAAAAAGCACCGGCUAACUACGUG
Molecule: ribosomal RNA, 465 nt
Filed under: uncultured bacterium
Lineage: Bacteria
Description: partial 16S ribosomal RNA
Rfam family: Bacterial small subunit ribosomal RNA
Source: RNAcentral